This 467-nucleotide ribosomal RNA is filed under the name uncultured bacterium. RNAcentral describes it as "partial 16S ribosomal RNA". It matches the Rfam family "Bacterial small subunit ribosomal RNA", at positions 28 to 506 of the family's 1533-position model. The record is from RNAcentral.
GACGAACGCUGGCGGCGUGCUUAACACAUGCAAGUCGAACGGAAAGGCCCUGCUUUUGUGGGGUGCUCGAGUGGCGAACGGGUGAGUAACACGUGAGUAACCUGCCCUUGACUUUGGGAUAACUUCAGGAAACUGGGGCUAAUACCGGAUAGGAGCCCCUGCUGCAUGGUGGGGGUUGGAAAGUUUCGGCGGUUGGGGAUGGACUCGCGGCUUAUCAGCUUGUUGGUGGGGUAGUGGCUUACCAAGGCUUUGACGGGUAGCCGGCCUGAGAGGGUGACCGGCCACAGGGGGACUGAGAUACGGCCCAGACUCCUACGGGAGGCAGCAGUGGGGAAUAUUGCACAAGGGGCGGGAGCCUGAUGCAGCAACGCCGCGUGCGGGAUGACGGCCUUCGGGUUGUAAACCGCUUUCGCCUGUGACGAAGCGUGAGGGACGGUAAGGGGAAAAGAAGCACCGGCUAACUACGU